RNAcentral lists this ribosomal RNA (414 nucleotides) under uncultured microorganism. Its description in RNAcentral is "bacterial SSU rRNA". It matches the Rfam family "Archaeal small subunit ribosomal RNA", at positions 459 to 872 of the family's 1478-position model. The record is from RNAcentral.
CAGCCGCCGCGGUAAUACCGGCGGCCCGAGUGGCGGUCACUAUUAUUGGGCUUAAAGCGUCCGUAGCCGGGCUGGUAAGUCCUCCGGGAAAUCUGGUCGCUUAACGAUCAGACUUCCGGAGGAUACUGCUGGCCUAGGGACCGGGAGAGGCCGAGGGGAUUCCCGGGGUAGGGGGGAAAUCCUGUAAUCCCGGGAGGCCCAGCUGUGGCGAAGGCGCUCGGCUGGAACGGGUCCGACGGUGAGGGACGAAGGCCAGGGGAGCGAACCGGAUUAGAUACCCGGGUAGUCCUGGCUGUAAACGAUGCGGACUAGGUGUCGGGCAAGCUAAGGGCUUGUCCGGUGCCGCAGGGAAGCCGUUAAGUCCGCCGCCUGGGGAGUACGGCCGCAAGGCUGAAACUUAAAGGAAUUGGCGGG